GACGAACGCUGGCGGCGUGCUUAACACAUGCAAGUCGAACGGAAAGGCCCUGCCUUUGUGGGGUGCUCGAGUGGCGAACGGGUGCGUAACACGUGAGUAACCUGCCCUUGACUUUGGGAUAACUUCAGGAAACUGGGGCUAAUACCGGAUAGGAGCUCCUGCUGCAUGGUGGGGGUUGGAAAGUUUCGGCGGUUGGGGAUGGACUCGCGGCUUAUCAGCUUGUUGGUGGGGUAGUGGCUUACCAAGGCUUUGACGGGUAGCCGGCCUGAGAGGGUGACCGGCCACAUUGGGACUGAGAUCCGGCCCAGACUGCUACGGGAGGCAGCAGUGGGGAAUAUUGCACAAUGGGCGGAAGCCUGAUGCAGCAACGCCGCGUGCGGGAUGACGGCCUUCGGGUUGUAAACCGCUUUCGCCUGUGACGAAGCGUGAGUGACGGUAAUGGGUAAAGAAGCACCGGCUAACUACGUG
RNAcentral lists this ribosomal RNA (468 nucleotides) under uncultured bacterium. RNAcentral's name for it is "partial 16S ribosomal RNA". It matches the Rfam family "Bacterial small subunit ribosomal RNA", at positions 28 to 507 of the family's 1533-position model. The record is from RNAcentral.